CAGCAGCCGCGGUAAUACGUAGGUCCCGAGCGUUGUCCGGAUUUAUUGGGCGUAAAGGGAGCGCAGGCGGUCAGGAAAGUCUGGAGUAAAAGGCUAUGGCUCAACCAUAGUGUGCUCUGGAAACUGUCUGACUUGAGUGCAGAAGGGGAGAGUGGAAUUCCAUGUGUAGCGGUGAAAUGCGUAGAUAUAUGGAGGAACACCAGUGGCGAAAGCGGCUCUCUGGUCUGUCACUGACGCUGAGGCUCGAAAGCGUGGGUAGCGAACAGGAUUAGAUACCCCUGUAGUCCCUGUCUCUUAUACC
This 301-nucleotide ribosomal RNA is filed under the name uncultured bacterium. RNAcentral describes it as "partial 16S ribosomal RNA". It matches the Rfam family "Bacterial small subunit ribosomal RNA", at positions 509 to 808 of the family's 1533-position model. The record is from RNAcentral.